RNAcentral lists this ribosomal RNA (1254 nucleotides) under Triticum aestivum (bread wheat). RNAcentral describes it as "partial small subunit ribosomal RNA". Lineage: Eukaryota; Viridiplantae; Streptophyta; Magnoliopsida; Poales; Poaceae. The record is from RNAcentral.
AUGCCUCACUACCGGCACCGGUCCUUUAUUCGCUUCUUCUUUCUAGGAGCCACUACCUUGUUCUUCCCAAUCUUAUCAUAUGUUGUGUCUAAUGGCUACACAAUUACGUCCACCUAUUCAAAUGGACAGAGCUUUUUCCUCCCUCUAGAGGAAGCCGACUCAUUUCUAAUCAUGUCACUCAGCUGCGACACAAGUGGACAUGUGUUCCUGAUCCUAUGGUGGGUUUGCCUUGCUAAAAUUAUUGGAAUCAAUACCAGUAUAAUGGUCGCUGCGGAUGAUAGAGAAGGUCGAAACAAUAGAAUCCCUGUGGUACUACUUGCACAAGCAAUCUGGACCUUGAACCUCGUGUUUGGCUUUCAUUUCCUUUUCUUCUACAAAUUACUAUUAUGGAUUUUCACUAUUCUUCUCUUAGCAAAAUUGGGGCUAAAAUGUUUUGCGUUUUGGAUGGCCCGGCGUUCUUUGGCUCAUGGACGCAACCCUCGCAUUAUUGUUGGAUACAUGAUGCAGUUACAUAAGAGAAGUCAGCAUGCUGGACCAACAAUUGAACAAAACUUGGAGACAUCAGAUAAGCAAUUACUUCCACCACCACUUAUUGUUAUGGGCGAGGAGAGACAAACGGUAGAGAAAAAUCCUCAAGGUUAUUGCAUCCAACAGUUACCAAACCAAGAUGGCAUAACCAUUGGGCACAACUUCUUGGUGACAAUUGACAAAGUUUGGCAAUUGGAUGAUAAACUUCUCAGGCCAACGUCACGAAUCAAAGAAGUGUGCUUUUCAUUUGCACUGUUCAAGUUAUUGCGGAGUCGACUUGCUGGCUAUACAGUCGUUGAAGCAGGCUUUGCACAAGCUCACAACUUCUUCUGGCAUGAGUUCAUUCAGGAUGGCACUACUGAAAGAGUAUUUAGGGUGAUUGAAGAUGAGCUGUCCUUUUUGCAUGAUUACUACUAUACCUCUCACCUUAUGAUUUACUCAAAGAGUUAUCUACCCAAAUUAAGCAUCGUUACCUCAUUGUUUAUCAUACAAUGUUGCCUCUUUGCUCUCUGGGAGAUAGCCGAGAAGAUAAAAUCUGAUCAUUUAAGUGAUUUUGGUCAGAUUUGGUGCCAAAUAGAGUGUGUUGAUGCUUCGAAAUUCAAUAGCCGAGGACCACCAAUGAGGGAAUUUCCGAAUAUCGGAAGCUUGCUGUUGGAUAUAACACUUGUAUGCAUACUUCUUGUAUUAAACAUUGUAUUAUACGGUGUUUGUAUAAACCAUAUGUAG